GAUGAACGCUAGCUACAGGCUUAACACAUGCAAGUCGAGGGGAAACGAUGAGAGAGCUUGCUCUCUUAGUCGUCGACCGGCGCACGGGUGAGUAACGCGUAUCCAACCUGCCUCUGACCAAGGGAUAACCCGUCGAAAGUCGGACUAAUACCUUAUGCAGUCGUCGGAAGUCAUCUGAUGACGACGAAAGAUUUCAUCGGUGAGAGAUGGGGAUGCGUCUGAUUAGCUUGUUGGCGGGGUAACGGCCCACCAAGGCGACGAUCAGUAGGGGUUCUGAGAGGAAGGUCCCCCACAUUGGAACUGAGACACGGUCCAAACUCCUACGGGAGGCAGCAGUGAGGAAUAUUGGUCAAUGGGCGUAAGCCUGAACCAGCCAAGUAGCGUGCAGGAGGACGGCCCUAUGGGUUGUAAACUGCUUUUAUGCGGGGAUAAAGUGAGGGACGUGUCCUUCAUUGCAGGUACCGAAUGAAUAAGGACCGGCUAAUCCCGUG
Molecule: ribosomal RNA, 491 nt
Filed under: uncultured bacterium
Lineage: Bacteria
Description: partial 16S ribosomal RNA
Rfam family: Bacterial small subunit ribosomal RNA
Source: RNAcentral